This 253-nucleotide ribosomal RNA is filed under the name uncultured bacterium. Its description in RNAcentral is "partial 16S ribosomal RNA". It matches the Rfam family "Bacterial small subunit ribosomal RNA", at positions 524 to 776 of the family's 1533-position model. The record is from RNAcentral.
UACGGGGGGGGCAAGCGUUGUUCGGAAUUACUGGGCGUAAAGGGCUCGUAGGCGGCCAACUAAGUCGGACGUGAAAUCCCCAGGCUCAACCUGGGAACUGCGUCCGAUACUGGAUGGCUUGAAUCCGGGAGAGGGAUGCAGAAUUCCAGGUGUAGCGGUGAAAUGCGUAGAUAUCGAGAGGAACACCAGUGGCGAAGGCGAGUCCCUGGACAAAACCUGACACUGAGGCACGAAAGCUAGGGGAGCAAACAGG